AACGAACGCUGGCGGCAUGCCUAACACAUGCAAGUCGAACGAAGCCUUCGGGUUUAGUGGCGCACGGGUGCGUAACGCGUGGGAAUCUGCCCUUGGGUUCGGAAUAACAGUUAGAAAUGACUGCUAAUACCGAAUGAUGUCUUCGGACCAAAGAUUUAUCGCCCAAGGAUGAGCCCGCGUCGGAUUAGCUAGUUGGUGAGGUAAAGGCUCACCAAGGCGACGAUCCGUAGCUGGUCUGAGAGGAUGAUCAGCCACACUGGGACUGAGACACGGCCCAGACUCCUACGGGAGGCAGCAGUGGGGAAUAUUGGACAAUGGGCGAAAGCCUGAUCCAGCAAUGCCGCGUGAGUGAUGAAGGCCUUAGGGUUGUAAAGCUCUUUUACCCGGGAUGAUAAUGACAGUACCGGGAGAAUAAGCCCCGGCUAACUCCGUGCCAGCAGCCGCGGUAAU
Molecule: ribosomal RNA, 450 nt
Filed under: uncultured bacterium
Lineage: Bacteria
Description: bacterial SSU rRNA
Rfam family: Bacterial small subunit ribosomal RNA
Source: RNAcentral